RNAcentral lists this unclassified non-coding RNA (434 nucleotides) under Hevea brasiliensis (rubber tree). Lineage: Eukaryota; Viridiplantae; Streptophyta; Magnoliopsida; Malpighiales; Euphorbiaceae. The record is from RNAcentral.
CUUCAAGUGGACCUGAACUGUAUUCCAUUGUGAUGAAAGAAGAGGCUUGUCCAUAAGUUAUUCGAGGGGAGAUCCCAGCAGCAUUCCACCAACUACUAUCGGAAGGAGCAAGAUCACCCUUAAUGUCAGAAUCCAGAGUAGAAGACUCCUUUUGACUACAGUUGUCUCCACAAGUCUCAUCCAUGUCAUUGUAUAUUAGCUUUAGAGCCUGCACUACUUCACCCAUAAAGGGUCUGUUAGUCACCUCUGGAUGAACACACAUUGAAGCAAUGGCUGCCACCUUAGCCAUGUCGUCAAAGUCAUAAGUUCCUGCCAACGAAGGAUCCACCAACUGCUCCAAUCCUUCUCUACUGGUAAGCAAUGGACGUGCCCAAGUCACUAAAUUUUCCUCUCCAGGAGGUUGGGACAUGUCCACAGGUUUUCUUCCAGAUAGA